CAGGUCGUAGGUUGAAUAUUCGAUAGGCGAACGCCUGGUUAACGGUACCUCACCGGGUGCCUCCCCGAGGUUUUGACAAUCCACGUCGUAGGCAAUCGAGCCUGCAGCGUCUGGCAUACCGCGCGCUCCUGCCGAGGAUCCGCACCGUCUCGCGAACGAUCACCGAGGACGGUAACUCCUCGGAAUAAGGAGAGACGGGACGGAGAAAGAGAGUAAGAAGGAGAGAAAUAAGGAAAAAGAAAGUGAAGGAGUGAAAAAGAUAGAGAGAGAGAGAGAGGGGGGGGAACAUGAUGGGAGAUAAGGUGGGCGGCGGAUGCUGUGAAGAAGAGAUGAAGAGAGGAUGGGGAGACUCCGAGGAGACGCGAGCAAUCGGCAUAUAUCCGAAGACUCGGACGAGAGGUGUAUGUGCAUCGAGAAUUCAAAUAAAUCGCUAAUCGAAGCUGUCAGUGUACCUGCCACCCAGACAAAUUCCGACUAUUAAGCGUCCGAAUGUCGUCGUCGUCGUCGUCGUCGUCGUCUUGGUUGUGAACCCGCUCCGAGGCCCCCGUAUACCACGACUUCGCCGAGGGAAUAUAAUGGUGGACCGUGGAUUGACCCUUGCGGUACUCCCACCAUCACCAAGGCAAGGCACCGCCAUCACCUACGCCACACGAAGCACUGUGCCGACGACACCGACUCGCACGACCACCGACUCGCCUGGCGAAGUCGAGAGAGACGCGCGCAACGCCUAUGUAGUUUACUUCGAGGCCCGAGCUAUACGUGCCGGGGUCAUAUUCUCAUCGGCGAUGCAUGGCCGCCGGUACAGUCGACGGGAACAGUCGGCCAACCGGCUGGCCCCGGAGAAGCGCGCGUCGCGAGGAAAAAAAUAUCUGGCACACGGGUCAGCCGCGAUUUUCAACGCUCGUAGUCCACGCCCGUGACUUCUUAGCGCGCAAGAAGAGUCCUGGAAACCCGGUGAAUCAAAUAAUCCGAAUGCAAUCUACUCGAUAAAAAGAUGCAAACGACGCUUUGUCUCAAUAAAUAUGCGAUGGACAAGGAUGCCUCAUGCGUUAUCGGUAGAUCACAACUUAUAGUAAUCUUGUCGAGCUUAAAAGAAGGCCAUGGACGAAGGUUAUGAUGAUCACACGAAUGACGUUAUAAAUUGAUCGAAGCGGAGAUGAUCGGUUUCUAUUUUUAAAUAUAUUCUCGAAUAUACGAUACUGUAAGAAUUUAUCAUUCAAUGUUAAAUCAUUUAUGACGAUAUAUAAUACAAAUAAAGAAGAUCAAUUUUGG
This is a long non-coding RNA of Acromyrmex echinatior (Panamanian leafcutter ant), 1272 nucleotides long. Lineage: Eukaryota; Metazoa; Arthropoda; Insecta; Hymenoptera; Formicidae. The record is from RefSeq and is a predicted model, not a curated record.